UCAGCUCUUUCUCAAGCUUCACUAAUGCCGUUCACAGACCGACUGGGCAAAUGAUGCUCCUGACAAUAAGGAAGCAGCACAUUGUCUGCUUGUGACAAUGUGGGGCUCUUGUGGCAGCCUCCUGGGGGUCCAGCAUUAUCAACCACGGUUAACAGGAAGCAUCUGAAGAUGUGUUCUUAUUUGGGGUCAAAGCGGAUCUGAACGCCAUCCAUAAACGUGCAGCACUGUGAACAGAACAGCGGAUUCCUGAAAUGAUGUAUGUGUCUGCCAGGAUCAACCACGGGCCCUGCCAGAUCCUUGUGGGAGAUGAGAUGCCAGAGAGCAGCCUGUCAAACAAAGAAAAGCCGAAAUGGCAGCACCGCCUCCCAUGGCAGGAAAUGUAGAAAAUGUUCCUUGGAAUCCAGCUCCCCUUUGUGUAAUCAUGACAAUACCGAGAUACCAACCCAUUUGCUCCUGAGAAUAAUUACGAGUAACAUGCGUGUAAUCCUCAAGAGUUUAUCAAGUGCUCCCGUGGGUGUUAUCUUAUUGAUUGUGUUCGCACUUGGAGUGUGUGGACAGCCCGGGUGAGGAGUCCUCAAGUCUUCGUAUGUCAGCUUGCUUAAGUGGGUCUGUCUCCUUUCCAAAGUGGAGCCAUGGAAACUGUGGCAGCCACUAGGAUGCGGCGGUGUCCUGCCUUUAAAUGACUUGCCUCCCAGCAGUCUCGGAAAUGAAAAAUUACUCGGAAUCCCCAUUGUAGUAAAUUUCCCAUUUUCCCCUUUAUAUUUUGAGUUCUCCAAAUUUUUGGAGAUAAGCAUGGACUACCUUUGUAAUCAGAAAAAAACAAAAUACUUAUAAAAUCCAGGGAAGCAUGCAUUUGAAUGGUACCCCGGCUGAUGAGAUUUGCCUCCCAGGGCAAGCCUGGCCUUGGGGAUUGGCUGGCUGCUUUGGCCAAGCUUCCUGAACCAGAAGAGUCAUCGCAUUUUUGAACUGGGGCCAUCGAGAACUUCUAGUCACCCCCUUAGCACACCAGCCAGUGUGCAGAGAAUGUAACCAGCCAGAAGCUGUGUCCUACUUCUCCAAAAUAGAUACUUGGAAAGCUCUAUGCCCGCAGAGGGAAGCCAAAGAUAUUGAUCCCUUAGCUGAAGUGAGAUGAAUUCUGGACAUGUUCUUUUCUCUU
This 1156-nucleotide long non-coding RNA is filed under the name Marmota monax (woodchuck). The record is from RNAcentral. Lineage: Eukaryota; Metazoa; Chordata; Mammalia; Rodentia; Sciuridae.